Molecule: transfer RNA, 797 nt
Filed under: uncultured bacterium
Lineage: Bacteria
Description: partial may contain 16S ribosomal RNA, 16S-23S ribosomal RNA intergenic spacer, and 23S ribosomal RNA
Rfam family: tRNA (bases 276-349)
Source: RNAcentral
CCGGAAGGUGCGGCUGGAUCACCUCCUUUCUAGGGAGAGGGAGCAGGACCCAUCGGUGAGGGGACUGCGUCAACAACCCUCCCAGGUUGAUCGCUCGAUCGCUACCGUCGCCCCUGCUGGGUGGGAGCGGCGUCCGUACCUCGGUACGGGCGAGGUCGAGCGACCCAGCACCAAGCACCGAGAACUCGUUCGCAUGGGUCAUCUGCCACUCUUCACGUGUCAGGGUGCAGCCGCCCUCCCGGACCGACGCGGUCCUGGCGGGACGGAACCCCGACGGGCGUUUAGCUCAGCUGGUUAGAGCACUGCCCUGAUAAGGCAGAGGUCUCUGGUUCGAGUCCAGAAACGCCCACCAUCCAACCUCUCCGCACUCGCAGCCGCGGGGGGACGUAGCUCAGCUGGCAGAGCAUCUCCUUUGCAAGGAGAGGGUCAGGAGUUCGAGUCUCCUCGUCUCCACCACUCUGCAGGCGCCAUACACAGAAGCACCUCCCGCCCUCGGAAACGGCAACGGCCGCGUUCAGAGGGCGCGACGCAAGUCCCGAGGUCCCCUCGUCCAUGGGCUCGAUACCGAUCGAGGUCAUGGACCAGCUGACCGUUGGAAACGGCAGACGAUGUGUCGGCCGGCCGCUCCCGCCAGGGACGGCUAUGCACCUUUACAAGUGAAGAUGACGAUCGGAAGAUCGAGUCUCUUUUUGAAAACUUCGAUUUCUGCCGAAUGAACAAGGUGAAGAUCCCGAUUCCACCUGACGCACUCGCCAUCGGGUGAGUUGCUGAGGGGGGUCAAGCUACACAGGGCACGG